This 639-nucleotide ribosomal RNA is filed under the name uncultured Actinomycetes bacterium. Its description in RNAcentral is "bacterial SSU rRNA". It matches the Rfam family "Bacterial small subunit ribosomal RNA", at positions 232 to 885 of the family's 1533-position model. Lineage: Bacteria; Bacillati; Actinomycetota; Actinomycetes. The record is from RNAcentral.
CGCGGCCUAUCAGCUUGUUGGCGGGGUAACGGCCCACCAAGGCAUCGACGGGUAGCUGGUCUGAGAGGACGAUCAGCCACACUGGGACUGAGACACGGCCCAGACUCCUACGGGAGGCAGCAGUGGGGAAUAUUGCGCAAUGGGCGAAAGCCUGACGCAGCAACGCCGCGUGGGGGAUGAAUGCCUUCGGGUUGUAAACCCCUUUCAGCAGGGACGAAAAUGACGGUACCUGCAGAAGAAGCCCCGGCCAACUACGUGCCAGCAGCCGCGGCAACACGUAGGGGGCAAGCGUUGUCCGGAUUUAUUGGGCGUAAAGAGCUCGUAGGCAGUUGCGUAAGUCGGAUGUGAAAACUCAGGGCUCAACCCGGAGACGCCAUUCGAAACUGCGCUGACUAGAGUCCGGUAGGGGAGCAUGGAAUUCCUGGUGUAGCGGUGAAAUGCGCAGAUAUCAGGAGGAACACCAGUAGCGAAGGCGGUGCUCUGGGCCGGAACUGACGCUGAGGAGCGAAAGCGUGGGUAGCGAACAGGAUUAGAUACCCUGGUAGUCCACGCCGUAAACGUUGGGCACUAGGUGUGGGGCCUACUUAACGGGUUCCGUGCCGUAGCUAACGCAUUAAGUGCCCCGCCUGGGGAGUACGG